CAGCCGCCACGGUAAUGCGGAGGGGGCUAGCGUUGUUCGGAAUUACUGGGCGUAAAGCGCACGUAGGCGGCUUGGUAAGUUAGAGGUGAAAGCCCAGGGCUCAACCCUGGAAUUGCCUUUAAGACUGCCGAGCUAGUAGGUGAGAGAGGUAAGUGGAAUUCCGAGUGUAGAGGUGAAAUUCGUAGAUAUUCGGAAGAACACCAGUGGCGAAGGCGGCUUACUGGCUCAUUCUAGACGCUGAGGUGCGAAAGCGUGGGGAGCAAACAGGAUUAGAUACCCCUGUAGUCCCUGUCUCUUAUAC
RNAcentral lists this ribosomal RNA (301 nucleotides) under uncultured bacterium. Its description in RNAcentral is "partial 16S ribosomal RNA". It matches the Rfam family "Bacterial small subunit ribosomal RNA", at positions 509 to 807 of the family's 1533-position model. The record is from RNAcentral.